GGAGAUCGUUGGACUUGUAACUUGAAGGUAAUACUAAGGACACAACCUUCUUUGUUUAGGCUUAUCAAUGGCUUAGGAUAUCCAUAAUCUGGGUAUCCGUCAAAUGGAACACACACUUUUUAGAUGGUGGACAUGUGCAAGGGGCAAAAGAAUGAUCCCAAGGCACAAAUGAAAUCAUCAUUAUCGGAUUGCACAUGGUUUAAAAAUGAGUAUGGAUUGAUGUUUAGGGCACUGGAAGUCUUAUGAAGCUUAAAGAACUGAGGAGCAUUUUUAUUCUCAUUUUUCUUCAUCUUUCUUUCAUUUUCUUCUUUUUCUCAUCUCAUUUUUUUAUUUUUGCCUUGUCAGAACUUUUGGCAACAUAAUACUUACUUAGAAGUAGUCAGAGAUAAUGCAAUGACUCCAUCCCCCAUGCUUGAAUAAUGCUCAUCCUCGACCAUGAAAGAGAGAAUAAAAUGACUGCUGACGUAACUAUAAAAUCUUUUGGUCUUCUACAGAAAAUUAUUUGAUUCUUUAGGGAGGUCGUCCACACCAAAAAUUAGUGCUUCCAGAGGAGGGAACC
This 559-nucleotide long non-coding RNA is filed under the name Setaria viridis. Its description in RNAcentral is "long non-coding RNA (SVIR_LNC004597)". Lineage: Eukaryota; Viridiplantae; Streptophyta; Magnoliopsida; Poales; Poaceae. The record is from RNAcentral.